Molecule: long non-coding RNA, 388 nt
Organism: Myotis davidii
Lineage: Eukaryota; Metazoa; Chordata; Mammalia; Chiroptera; Vespertilionidae
Exons: 3
Source: RefSeq, a predicted model, not a curated record
CUGUGCCAUAAACAUCACCAGCUCUGCCAGUUCUUUGCUGGGUUUAUUAGGUUGCAAUCGGAAAAUCUCCACAUUGGAUUUGUAGUGAUUAUACUGCUGUAGAAACUGGAAGUUGGAGGUUGGAAGCGCGCCAUGUCUCCCUAAAGCAAAAUGCGGUAUUUAAAGGUCUACGGAGCAGGUAGAAAAAUCCGAAGGGACAGAGUUCCAAGAGGUGGACCACGCGCCUUAAGGCAUGUCCCUUUCCCGGCCCCUUCUCCCUUCCCGACAGACCCCAGAACCUAACGGUAGCACACGCGGCCAGCCAGGAUCCCCAACUCCACUCCACGCCUCCCCAACCCCACUCGUGUCAACCAGGCGCGCCUUGGCCUCUAGCGUCGCCGCGGCGCAG